ACUGCUCAGUAACACGUGGAUAACCUGCCCUGCGGUGGGAAAUAACCCCGGAAACUGGGGAUAAUGUCCCAUAGGCUACGGAUGCUGGAAUGCUCUGUAGCUCAAAGAUUUAUCGCCACAGGAUGGGUCUGCGGCCGAUUAGGUAGUUGUUGGGGUAACGGCCCAACAAGCCUUUGAUCGGUACGGGUUGUGGGAGCAAGAGCCCGGAGAUGGAUUCUGAGACACGAAUCCAGGCCCUACGGGGCGCAGCAGGCGCGAAAACUUUACAAUGCGGGAAACCGUGAUAAGGGAACUCCGAGUGUCCGUCAAUGCGGACUGUCCGUAUGUUUAAAAAGCAUGCGAAGAAAGGGCCGGGCAAGACCGGUGCCAGCCGCCGCGGUAAUACCGGCGGCUCGAGUGGUGGCCACUAUUACUGGGCUUAAAGCGUUCGCAGCUGGGUUGUUAAGUCUCUUGGGAAAUCUAUCGGCUUAACCGAUAGGCGUCCAAGGGAUACUGGCAAUCUAGGGACCGGGAGAGGUGAGGGGUACUUCAGGGGUAGGAGUGAAAUCCUGUAAUCCUUGGGGGACCACCUGUGGCGUAGGCGCCUCACCAGAACGGCUCCGACAGUGAGGGACGAAAGCUGGGGGAGCAAACCGGAUUAGAUACCCGGGUAGUCCCAGCCGUAAACGAUGCGCGUUAGGUGUAUCGAUGACCACGAGUCAUCGAGGUGCCGAAGGGAAACCGUGAAACGCGCCGCCUGGGAAGUACGGUCGCAAGGCUGAAACUUAAAGGAAUUGGCGGGGGAGCAC
RNAcentral lists this ribosomal RNA (788 nucleotides) under uncultured archaeon. Its description in RNAcentral is "bacterial SSU rRNA". It matches the Rfam family "Archaeal small subunit ribosomal RNA", at positions 85 to 879 of the family's 1478-position model. The record is from RNAcentral.